RNAcentral lists this ribosomal RNA (529 nucleotides) under uncultured Glomus. Its description in RNAcentral is "SSU rRNA". It matches the Rfam family "Eukaryotic small subunit ribosomal RNA", at positions 569 to 1102 of the family's 1831-position model. Lineage: Eukaryota; Fungi; Glomeromycota; Glomeromycetes; Glomerales; Glomeraceae. The record is from RNAcentral.
AGCAGCCGCGGUAAUUCCAGCUCCAAUAGCGUAUAUUAAAGUUGUUGCAGUUAAAAAGCUCGUAGUUGAAUUUCGGGAUUAGUACGUUGGUCGUGCCUUCGGUACGUACUGGUGUUACUGAUUCCUACCUUCUGACGAACCAUCAUGUCAUUUAUUUGGUGUGGCGGGGAAUCAGGACUGUUACUUUGAAAAAUUAGAGUGUUUAAAGCAGGCUCGCGCUUGAAUACAUUAGCAUGGAAUAAUGAAAUAGGACGUUGACCCUAUUUUGUUGGUUUCUAGGAUUGACGUAAUGAUUAAUAGGGAUAGUUGGGGGCAUUAGUAUUCAAUUGUCAGAGGUGAAAUUCUUGGAUUUAUUGAAGACUAACUACUGCGAAAGCAUUUGCCAAGGAUGUUUUCAUUAAUCAAGAACGAAAGUUAGGGGAUCGAAGACGAUCAGAUACCGUCGUAGUCUUAACCAUAAACUAUGCCGACUAAGGGGAUCGGAUGAUGUUAUUUUUAAUGACUCAUUCGGCGCCUUACGGGAACCAAA